RNAcentral lists this ribosomal RNA (466 nucleotides) under uncultured bacterium. Its description in RNAcentral is "partial 16S ribosomal RNA". It matches the Rfam family "Bacterial small subunit ribosomal RNA", at positions 28 to 507 of the family's 1533-position model. The record is from RNAcentral.
GAUGAACGCUGGCGGCGUGCUUAACACAUGCAAGUCGAACGAUGAAGCCCAGCUUGCUGGGUGUAUUCGUGUCGAACGGGUGAGUAACACGUGAGUAACCUGCCCUUGACUCUGGGAUAAGCCCUGGAAACUGGGUCUCAUACCGGAUAGAAGCGCCUGUCGCAUGACGGGUGUUGGAAAGAUUUUUCGGUCAUGGAUGGACUCGCGGCCUAUCAGCUUGUUGGUGAGGUAAUGGCUCACCAAGGCGCCGACGGGUAGCCGGCCUGAGAGGGUGACCGGCCACACUGGGACUGAGACACGGCCCAGACUCCUACGGGAGGCAGCAGUGGGGAAUAUUGCACAAUGGGCGGAAGCCUGAUGCAGCGACGCCGCGUGAGGGAUGACGGCCUUCGGGUUGUAAACCUCUUUCAGUAGGGAAGAAGCGAAAGUGACGGUACCUGCAGAAGAAGCACCGGCUAACUACGUG